Molecule: ribosomal RNA, 384 nt
Filed under: uncultured bacterium
Lineage: Bacteria
Description: bacterial SSU rRNA
Rfam family: Bacterial small subunit ribosomal RNA
Source: RNAcentral
AUUGAACGCUGGCGGCAUGCCUUACACAUGCAAGUCGAACGGUAACAGGGAGCUUGCUCCGCUGACGAGUGGCGAACGGGUGAGUAAUGUAUCGGAACGUACCAUUCAGUGGGGGAUAACGUAGCGAAAGUUACGCUAAUACCGCAUAUUCUGUGAGCAGGAAAGCAGGGGAUCGCAAGACCUUGCGCUGAUUGAGCGGCCGAUAUCAGAUUAGCUAGUUGGUGAGGUAAAGGCUCACCAAGGCGACGAUCUGUAGCGGGUCUGAGAGGAUGAUCCGCCACACUGGAACUGAGACACGGUCCAGACUCCUACGGGAGGCAGCAGUGGGGAAUUUUGGACAAUGGGGGCAACCCUGAUCCAGCCAUGCCGCGUGAGUGAAGAAGG